ACGAACAUGGUUACCUCAACGCCGUACUUGAUGGCGACGCCGGCGAGGGUAUCGAAGCGGGAAACGGGAUGUUCAAUGAAACCGGCAGACGGUAUCGUUGAAGAGGGUAAAUUUUGAAUCUUAUCCUUCUCUAAUAGACUAUAAUCAUUGCAAAAAUGACUGUAAUGGCCAUUCGUAUCGUAACUGUACUGUUCAAUUGUAUUGAUGCCAUUCCGCCUCUCCCUUUCCAUCAGCAUUUCCCCCGUUUUCCCUUUUUUUUUUUAAAAAAAAACAAAAAAAUCCCAAUUUUCUUUUACCCUAAUCUAAUCAGUCUCCUCCCUUUGACCUUUGAAUUCUUGGGUUUUCUUCGGGGGGUUGAAUUCAAAAUUUAAAAAAUCUGGAGCAUUGAAGCGAAGAAACCAAAUUGAAUCGAAAUUAUUUGAAAAAAAGAAGAAGGAAUAUACGGUUUUUUAAGUGAAAAAGAAAAAGAAAAAAAAACGUAGAUAUAUGGUGUGGGGGAAAUCGUGAAUAAGAUUAACAGUUAAACGGAAGGGGGCAUUGGUUCCAGUAUUUCCGGGAAAAUGAAUGAUGGAUCCUCUACGCUGUUUUCAUGAAAAACAAAACAAAAAAUAUAAUAAAAAAUAAAAAAUAAAAUAAAAUAAAAAGUUCUGAGGGGAAGCAGAGAAGGUCAAGGUAAUGGAAGGGAAGGCUAACUAAAUAUUUUAUUAUUUCAACAAAUUAUUUAUAAACUGAAAAAUAAUUAUAAUAAUAAGGUUUAAUUUUUCUCUCAAUCCCUAUGCUUUUUACAUUAUUUGAAAUUUCAUCUCUUUACUUUUCAAUAUCAAGAAUUAAUUCUUCAAACACGACUUCGGAUACAUUGGAUUACUAGACUAAAUGAGCAAAUCAAAUAUUAAAAUUAUAAAGUUAUUAUCUUCAGUAACUUUUUUUUUCUAAAUGUCAAAUAGUUCAACUUAAUGACUAUCAAUUGGACAUCAAAAUAGUAGAGGAUUAAAUUGAUGGAACUAAAAGGAAAGAGAUUAAAUUCAAAUAUGGAGAAAAGUACAGGGACUGAUAACAAACAAAUAUAUAAUUUAAAAACAACGUGCAUUUGGUACAUUAGUAACAGGUGGCGUUAUACGUGUUACAGUAGGGAAUAGGGAUGUCCCCACCGAAACCUCGGCGCCUUUUGCCAACCCCGUUUUGUCGGUCGGCUCACUCGGCGGCUGUCCCUUUGUUUCUUUUUCUGGUCUAAUUCUGGUUUUAGUCCCUCUAUGUCCUUGCUCUAAUUUGACCUGACUUGGUGUCCUUGUUAUUUGUUGUCUUUUUUGUUUUUAUUUAUAGUUCUGACUUAAAUGUUAAAACUUGAAUGGAUGAUAUUAUUAAUGAAUUUUGGUUAACUUGUAGAGGGAGGUAGGGAUGACAAGAUCUGAAUUCAUGUUAUUUAGGGACUGAAAAAGAACUCCAACUCCAAUUCCGAACAAGUCCUAGCACUUUUUGUUAAUUUUGAAUAUGCAGUAUGUUAAUAUUCAAAGUUUUAUUUUCAAAUUUUAAAAAAAAUUAUCAAUUAGAUUUUGAUUUUUUAAAUCCGCCAAAUAAAAGACUAGACUCUUGAAGUUAAAAAUAAAAUAAUUAUAAUUUUUUUUUUGAAUAGUUUAGGGGCUGUGGGGCAAAUUAGACCUAACUAUGGUCUUUUACCCUUUUUUUUAAAAAAUUAUUAACGAGACCUCAACUCUUAUAAUAUUAUUAUUUCUAUGUUGAAAUUGAUAACACUGCAUGUAAACAUUUAUAAUGUGUAGAAAACUGAUUAAAUUCAAAUUUGCAGCAUAAUAGGUGGAUUAAAAUCAAAAUUAGACCUUUGUUUUUCAUUCAUUUUGCACAAAACAAAAUUUUAUUUAUUUUAUUCUUUCCUCUCAUUUCACCAAAACCAAACGUCUCUCUAAUUUUAUUUUAUUUUUACAUUAAUCUUAUUAUAGGUUUUUAUAAUAUAUGUUCUUUUUUAGAAUGAUACAAUGUUUAAAACUAUUCAUUGCCUGUUGGAAAAAAUAGAAUUUUGGAAGCUUUGAGGCAUAUUCUUGAUUAGUAAAUGUGGAGAUUUAAAUCAUAAAAUUAUAGUUUUAUAUUCUACCUCAUGAGACCUUUAUAACGGUACAUUUUAUGCUCAAAAUGGUCGAAUGAUGAAUGAGAAAUUGAUGCUCAAAGUAAGUCACUUGUGAAUUAUGUUGAGGAAAAUGGAAAGCUUAGCCCCACAUUCAUUAGAUAUCAAAUGUGGAAUAUGUUUAUAUAUAUAAACCAACUUUGUAGUUAUUAAAUGACUAAAUUAAUGAUUUCUUUCAAGCACAAGAGGGGGUGUGAAACUAAACUUGUCAGGGUCACAGAUAUUUUGGCCUAAUAUGUAAUUUUAUUUUUCUCACCAAAGUUUAUCUCUCCAAAUUCUGCUUGGAAUUAAAAGGACAAAUAUUAAAUUGAGGUUAAUGACUCAUUUAAUUCAAAAGUUAAUGACUCCUUAAUUCACAGAUGUUAUUAGCUCCAUUAGUCAAAAUUUCUAAAAGUUCUUUUAAUUUUUGAAUUUUCUUUAAAACCAAAUAAUUUGCAGGAAAAGAUAUACAAACUAAAAUUUCAGAUAUUUCAAGAUCUUUUCCCUGCAUAUUUCGAACCUAUUUUCAGUGAUAGAAUAAGGUAAGGCUACAGUUCGUUGAUCACUGUAGCCGUGCUACUGCCGUGCUCAUCUCAUUGUUGUAUCUUGGGAGACAGUCGACCAACAUUUCUCCAGCAGCAAAGGAGCG
This 2762-nucleotide long non-coding RNA is filed under the name Gossypium raimondii (Peruvian cotton). RNAcentral's name for it is "long non-coding RNA (GRAI_LNC010321)". The record is from RNAcentral. Lineage: Eukaryota; Viridiplantae; Streptophyta; Magnoliopsida; Malvales; Malvaceae.